GCUAUGGUCUAGGGCAGUUCUCCCGCAGGUUCCAAUCUCGGAUUUUCUUUCCAUCCGCCUUCCAAUCAAAGAUUGGAAAUCUGUAGGGACGAUCCUUGCGCGGACGGCCGGACGCCGGCGGCAGCCAGCUUGAGCGGCAAGAGUUAGAUAAACCAGCUGCUCAGAGUGGACGUGCUGAAUAUAAAAGAAUAAUUGAAAGGAAGCUGGCAAUAACCUGUCAGUAUGAUGAUAUUGUGGAGGAGGUAAUUUGGGGUCUAGAGAAUAUCAUGCAUACUUUAUUGCCCGAAGAAACAUCAGAGCCGAAGGAGUACCGCCGCUCCCAUGGCAAAGGAUUAAUCCUUUUCUUACGUCAAUAUGGCUUUCUUGUCAAAA
Long non-coding RNA from Triticum aestivum (bread wheat), 372 nucleotides. RefSeq lists it as uncharacterized. Lineage: Eukaryota; Viridiplantae; Streptophyta; Magnoliopsida; Poales; Poaceae. The record is from RefSeq and is a predicted model, not a curated record. The transcript has 3 exons.